GCUGACACAUCCCAGCCAAUCUCCAGCAGACCCUCCCUCCCAGACCCUCCUACUUCCUGGACAGCAUCCAUGUUGAAGCUGCCUUCAACAUGGAUGCUGUCCAGGAGGUGGGAGGGUCUGGGAGGGAGGGUCUGCUGGAGAUUGGCCGGGAUGUGUCAG
This is a non-coding RNA of Pelobates cultripes (western spadefoot toad), 159 nucleotides long. The record is from the annotation of a GenBank genome assembly. NCBI's taxonomy places the organism in Eukaryota, Metazoa, Chordata, Amphibia, Anura, Pelobatidae.